Molecule: ribosomal RNA, 449 nt
Filed under: uncultured bacterium
Lineage: Bacteria
Description: partial 16S ribosomal RNA
Rfam family: Bacterial small subunit ribosomal RNA
Source: RNAcentral
AACGAACGCUGGCGGCAGGCCUAACACAUGCAAGUCGAGCGGAUCCUUCGGGAUUAGCGGCGGACGGGUGAGUAACGCGUGGGAAUAUGCCCUUCUCUACGGAAUAGCCUCGGGAAACUGAGAGUAAUCCCGUAUACGCCCUUUGGGGGAAAGAUUUAUCGGAGAAGGAUUAGCCCGCGUUGGAUUAGGUAGUUGGUGGGGUAAUGGCCUACCAAGCCUACGAUCCAUAGCUGGUUUGAGAGGAUGAUCAGCCACACUGGGACUGAGACACGGCCCAGACUCCUACGGGAGACAGCAGUGGGGAAUCUUAGACAAUGGGGGCAACCCUGAUCUAGCCAUGCCGCGUGAGUGAUGAAGGCCUUAGGGUUGUAAAGCUCUUUCAGCUGGGAAGAUAAUGACGGUACCAGCAGAAGAAGCCCCGGCUAACUCCGUGCCAGCCGCCGCUGUAA